Molecule: long non-coding RNA, 34305 nt
Filed under: Triticum aestivum (bread wheat)
Lineage: Eukaryota; Viridiplantae; Streptophyta; Magnoliopsida; Poales; Poaceae
Description: long non-coding RNA (TAES_LNC028071)
Source: RNAcentral
CUGCAAUGAUGUGAUGAUGAUAUUCCGGUUCAUGAUGAUGAUGAUGUUCUGGUUCAUGAUGAUGAUGAUGGAUGCUUUCAGUUUUAGUUAAGUUGUAAGGAUGUUGUUCAUGUUGGAUGUUGUUCCUAGGUUAAGUUUUUGUUAAGUUGUAGGGAUGUUGAUGAAUGCUUUCAGUUUAAGUUUCGCUGUCAAAAAUAUAUUUAGAUUAUGCAUCACAUUUGGAUGAUGUACCUCCUGUAAUACCCAAUAUUGUAAUCCAACAGUUUUAUCAAUAUAUAUGUUCUCUUUCUCUUGUGAGUAUAUUCUUUUAUUUUUUUCCUCACUUGAUAUAGAUAAUUACUUCCAUUAUCAACAUCAUUAAUUGCAUAUUAUUAUUAAAAAUAUAUGUAUGAACACCUGAAGAGUUGCAAAUUCUUUGUUGCCAAGCAAUGAGAUUUGGAUUCCUGUACAUUGACCACCAACGUAUAAAAGUGUUGUAACAAUCGAUUUUAUGUGUUGUACUCUUGCAACGGUCCAUUUACCAACGGAAGUAUAAGUGUUGCAUUAUGCGCUAGCAACACUAGAUAAGGCAACGCAUCCCAAACUGUUGGUAAAGACACUAACAACGCAUAUAUGGACUUCUAGAUACAGAAAAAUCCGUUGCUAUAGAUGGGGUCCUGUUGUAGUGGAGGUGGGACUAAACUUGCCGCACAGCACCUGCGCCAGCGCAUCCCCUUUAGUACCGGGUCGUGGCACAAACCGAUACUAAAGGGGGGCCUUUAGUAUCGGUUUGUGCCACCACCCGGUAAUAAAGGGGGUCGCUUCCUGCCGCUUGGGCUGGCCAAAACUGGCCUUUAGUACCGGUUGGUGGCACAAACCGGUACUAAAGGCCCCUCCUAUAUAAACAACACUUACGAAAAUUUCAGUUUCUCAUCUGGUUUCUUCUCCUCUGCACCGUCGCCCGCCGCCCCCGUACGUCUCCAUCCCUCGUCGCCGCACCCGUCGCCGCCCCGUGCCCGUCGUCCCCGUCCCGUCGUCCCCGUCGUCACCGCCGCCCCGUCCCGGCCCAUCCCGCGUCGUCCCCGUCCCCAUCGUCGGCGCCGCCCUGUACGUCCCCAUCGUCCUCGCCGCCCUGGCCCCUCCAUCCCCGUCCCCAUCGUCGCCGCCCCGUCCCUGUCCCCGUCGUCGUCNNNNNNNNNNNNNNNNNNNNNNNNNNNNNNNNNNNNNNNNNNNNNNNNNNNNNNNNNNNNNNNNNNNNNNNNNNNNNNNNNNNNNNNNNNNNNNNNNNNNNNNNNNNNNNNNNNNNNNNNNNNNNNNNNNNNNNNNNNNNNNNNNNNNNNNNNNNNNNNNNNNNNNNNNNNNNNNNNNNNNNNNNNNNNNNNNNNNNNNNNNNNNNNNNNNNNNNNNNNNNNNNNNNNNNNNNNNNNNNNNNNNNNNNNNNNNNNNNNNNNNNNNNNNNNNNNNNNNNNNNNNNNNNNNNNNNNNNNNNNNNNNNNNNNNNNNNNNNNNNNNNNNNNNNNNNNNNNNNNNNNNNNNNNNNNNNNNNNNNNNNNNNNNNNNNNNNNNNNNNNNNNNNNNNNNNNNNNNNNNNNNNNNNNNNNNNNNNNNNNNNNNNNNNNNNNNNNNNNNNNNNNNNCGCACACACACACAUACAUUUUUUGUUUUUAGUUAUACAAAUAGUUAGAAAUUUUUCUGUUUUUUAGAAAUUGUUAGAAAUUUUUCUAUUUUUCAGAAAUAGUUAGAAAUGUUAGAAUUGUUAGAAUAGUUAGAAAUGUUAGAAUUGUUAGAAUAGUUAGAAAUGUUAGAAUUGUUAGAAAUUUAUCUGUUUUUUAGUUAUAGAAAUAGUUAUAAAAAAGUUAGAAUUGUUAGAAAUUUUUCUGUUUUUUAGUUAUAGAAAUAGUUAUAAAAAUGUUAGUUAUAUAUAUAGAAAUGUUAUAAUUUUUUUCUGUUUUUCAGUUAUAGAAAUAUUAGAAAUGUUAUAGAAAUGUUAGUUAUAUAUAGCAUUGUUAGAAAUGUUAUAGAAAUGUUAGUUAUAUAGAAAUGUUAGAAAUUUUAGUUAUCAAAAUCCAAUCAUUAAAAAAAUGUUACUUUUUGUGGGCAUAUAGCUAGUAUUUGUUCUCGACGAUGCCCGACCCGCAUCCUCGCCGUCGACACGUCUGCGACGACGUCCGGCUGACCCAUGUCCGGGACUGGGCUCCGCCGGGCUGGCACUGGGAGGUGCUGCCUGGAGGGGCGCGCCGCUUGAUGAGGAACCCGGCCCCGGGUCCCGUCGUCGACCCUGAUAUCGUUUGGUGGCGUUUGUUUGGGCCAGUUUCGGUGCGGAGGGAGCCGGCCCCGCCGGAGAUGGUACGUCGCCGUGUCAGGGAGGAGGACGAGCACGCCCAUCGCUACAUGGUUGCAUUAGAGGGCGGCAGGUUCUCCAAUACAUGGCAGUUUCUUCAGGGAUCUCACUUCAGCUAUGAUCCUGUGAGGGUUCCUUCUCUUUGGGUGUCCACCGCCCGCGCCGCAGGAACCGCGAGUGUCCUAGAUUUUUCUGUAGUAUUCGAUCUUUAUUAGCUACCUAGCCAGUGAUGUAUUCGAUAUUAUAUCUAUUAUUCGAGACGAUGUAUUCGAGAUUAUAUCUAUUAUUCGAGACAAUGUUUUCGAGAUUAUAUCUAUUAUUCGAGACGAUGUAUUUGAUAUUAUAUCUAUUAUUCGAGACGAUGUAAUUUGAAUACUAAAUUGUUUUAUAUUUCUUUUGGAUUAGUUAAAUAAAAGCUAUGGCGGACAAUACCGGCAGAGAGGGAGAACAGGACAUGUUCGAUAUGAUAAGCCAUCCUCACGGGCCAGAUGAUCAUCAGAAUGAAGAAGAUUAUGACGGCUCCGAAUUUCUAAACAAGACCGGAGAGGGUGAUAUGAUAUUCGAUCGCAACGACCGAAUUGAUGAAGUCAUGAACUAUGAUUAUGAUGAUGAUGAAGAAAAUGUUGAUCUUGAAAAACAACAAAGACCGGCGAGGUAUAUAUAUUUAUAUAAGCAGGCAUCUGUUGAUCAUCACACGUUUUAAAUGACUUGAAGAUAUAUUAACGAAUCGAUAUUUGUUCUUUCAGCCAUCCGGAUCAAGCAAAUCUUCAGGCAAAAGGACGAAACGAGGCCCGAACAAAAAGUUGAACGAGGGCGUAAAGUACAAUAUCGAGGCAGUCAGACCUAAUGGCGAACCAUUAGCGCCUAAGAAGAUUGCGGACGAGUUCGUUCGUCAGUGCGGAGUUGUUGUGAAGGACCAACUCCCGAUCUCCCUUCAAGAAUGGAGAGAGCCAGCAAAAGACAAAAGACAAAAAGACAAAAAGGACGCUGCUCCACGUCCAGAUGUUACUUUUGUUGACAAAAGACAAAAAGAGCUGCUUUGGGAUACUCUCAUGGAACAUUUCACCCUACCAGAUCAUUUCGCAGAAGCAGAUGUGCAGAAAGUCAAGGACGCUUGUCGGUGUCAAAACCGGCGGAUCUCGGGUAGGGGUUCCCGAACGGUGCAUCUAGGCGGAUGGUAACAGGAGAUGAGGGACACGAUGUUUUACCCAGGUUCGGGCCCUCUUGAUGGAGGUAAAACCCUACGUCCUGCUUGAUUAAUAUUGAUGAUGUGUGUUACAAGAGUAGAUCUACCACGAGAUCAAGGAGGCUAAUCCCUAGAAGCUAGCCUAUGGUAUGAUUGUUGUUCGUCCUACGGACUAAAGCCAUCCGGUUUAUAUAGACACCGGAGAGGGCUAGGGUUACACAGAGUCGGUUACAAUGGUAGGAGAUCUACAUAUCCGUAUCGCCAAGCUUGCCUUCCACGCCAAGGAAAGUCCCAUCCGGACACGGGACGAAGUCUUCAAUCUUGUAUCUUCAUAGUCUUGGAGUCCGACCGAUGAUGAUAGUUCGGCUAUCCGGACACCCCCUAGUCCGGAACUCCCUCAGUAGCCCCUGAACCAGGCUUCAAUGACGACGAGUCCGACGCAUAUGUUGUCUUCAGCGUUGCAAGGUGGGUUCUCCCUCCGAACAAUUCAUAGAAGAUUGUGAACACCAGGAUAGUGUCCGGCUCUGCAAAAUAAUUUCCACAUACCACCGUAGAGAGAAUAAUAUUUACACAAGUUCAAUCUGCUGACGUAUUUGAUGGCGUGACAUCACACCACUACCAAGCCUUUACUUAAAUCGUUUUUAUUGUACCACCUCAGCGCGUUUAGCGAAGCGGUUUCCUUGGCACAUCUUGUCGAAGCAGAGAUCGUGUUCCCCUUAUUCCGGGAUUCCCAUCAAUACGGACGUGGGUAACCCAACCGCGCCAUUGAUUGCGGCGCUUGGCGGAUAAGCGAGUUUUAUCAGGCCGGUGGGGAUGCAUGUUUCGUCCGCCCAUAUAAGGGGAUAAAGAUCCAACCCUUUUACCUGUGCCUUCUUCCUCCUUGGCUUAUCCAUCUCUGCGAACCCGAGCUCCAGCGCCCAAGCCCGCACAUCUCGCCUCAACCUUCUCCAACUAUGUCCAGAGCAGGAGGCAAGUGGAUGGCCUCCUCCGUCACGGAGGGGCAGAUCCAGAAGCUGGGCGACGCUGGAUACUUGUCCAGCGACAUCGCGCACCGGCUCCCCAUCGAGGGAGAGCUCAUCCCCAUCCCCAAGCCCCAUGAGAGGGUAGUAUUUCUUCCCCAUUUCCUCCGCGGACUGGGCUUCCCGUUCCAUCCCUUUGUCCGGGGGCUCAUGUUCUACUACGGCCUGGAUUUCCAUGAUCUGGCCCCGAAUUUCAUCCUCAACAUCUUGGCGUUUAUUGUCGUGUGUGAGGCCUUCCUCUGCAUCCAGCCCCACUUUGGCUUGUGGCUCAAGACCUUUAGUGUCAAGCCGAAGGUUGUGAAGGGCAGCCAAACGGAGUGCGGAGGCGCCAUGGUGGGCAGGAUGUCCCACGUUACGUGGCUGGAGGGCACUUUUGUGGAAACCAUCAAGGGGUGGCAAUCGGGGUGGUUCUACAUCACCGAGCCGCGUGACCCCGAAUGGGCAGCGGCCCCCGAAUUCAGAUCUGGCAUCCCCACACGGCUCAUCUCCUGGAAAGAGAGCGGCCGGAUUUGGGGUGAUUCGGAGGAGCUGACCGGACUCCAAGCCUGCGUCCAAAAGCUGGUGGACAAGAAGCUCAAGCUUGUCAACAUAGUCCAGGUCAUGCUUAUCCGCCAGAUUCUCCCGUGCCAACGACGGGGCUUCAACAUGUGGGAGUUCGAUCCAGCGCAGCACCAGACUUUGAAUGGGCUCUUCGACACUACGUACAAAGAGGUCUGGAAGGUGCUGUUCAAAGGCGCCGAGGCUCCCGCAUCUGCUACCGAAGAUCGCGGAUUCAGCUUGGAGCGUCCAGCUGAUGAGGUAAGUUAUUUUGUCCUUUAAGGGACGCUUGUCUUCCAUAGUUUGACUCUAUGCGGGAUCUAAACUCCCUUUCCUUUGACAGGACUGGCUGAAGAAGUCCGCACAGGCUAUCUGUCCGGCCCCAUUGCUAGAGGACCCAGCGGACGCCCGCCUAACGGGGCUGCUGGCUCCGGCACCCCACGUGGUGCCGGAGAAGAAGGCCAAGAAGAAGGCCACGGGGACUCAGAAGAGUUCCCGUUUUCAGGUGCUAUCGGAUGAUGAAUCCGAGGCCGACUCCUCCCACCAAGGCGAGGAGGAGAAGAAGAAAGCCUCUCCCCCAGCGGGGGGAGGGAAGAAAAGGAAGGCCUCCCCACCAAGGGAGACCGAAGGGUCCAAGAAGGGAAAAACUCUUCCCCCGGACUGCUCCUCCAACGCCAGUGACGACGAUAAGGACUGGCCUCCAAGGGCCAAGCCUCUGGCAAGAUCGUAAGUACCCAGACUCCCGAAUAACUUCAAGGUUUUUAUUUUCCGCCACAUAAUGUCUUUCUAAUGCCGCAUACAACCCUGCAGUCCGCCUAAGGAUGAUCUUCCCAGUUCGCAUCGGAUAUGGAUUCUCUUCCGACUGCCUCCACCCCCCGUGACGCGGACGAUGCCGAGGUGGGAUCACAGGAAGGGACCCACCAGGAGGAGAGGGCUCCGGAGGUGUCGCAGGACAACCUCCCGGACUUUGCACUGGACUCGGCCCCCGAACCCACAGUGGCCCCGGAGUCCGGCGGGCGACCCCUUCGCAAGAAGGGCAAGACCGUGACACCGGCUGCCUCCGUCCAACCGGAGGUGCCGGAUAAUUUGCUGGAGGCGCUCAACGGCGCCUCCAUCGAAGAGGAGCACCGCACUAUUAUGAGUGCGGUGAUUCAGAAGGUGCGGCUCGCCAAGAGCGGGCUGACCGAAGCCUGCAGCAGCCUUCUAACAGGCUUUGAGGUAAGAAUUUCAAUAUGUAUAAAAUGGUACCACAUAGACAGUAGCCCCUGAUGCUCGGUUCGGUGUUCGGAAAGAAAAGCCGGACUGAGGAUCUUAAAAAAGAUAUACGCAGGAGUCAUAAAAAAUAUGUCAAUAUGGGAUUGCAGGCUGCGCUGCUGACCUCUGCCGCACUGACUGCGAAGGUCAAUAUUUUGAAGGAAAACCUCGAGUGGUCCGAGAACAAGCUCGGCCAUGCCAAGAAGCAGCUCGAGGACAAGGAAGAUGAGUAACACCUUAUUAAAAUUGCACCUUAUAGAAAAGGAUUUUGGUUGCAAAAAGAAUGACAAGGAUAAUGUGGGUAUUGCAGGGGCCACUAAUGAGGUGGCGACCCUGAAAGAGGCGGUGGCCGCGGCCGAACGCAAUGCGGCUGCGGAGCACACCGAGCGAGAGAAACAGGAGGCGCGGGUGGCGAAGGUACAGCAAGAGCUCCAGGAUCUCGUGCAGAAACAUGAGAGCCUGGAGCGUGACUCGAAGACUCGAGAGUCUGAGCUUGCAACGGCUCUUGAGAGUGCCAAAGCCGCUAAGGCUGAAGCCUACAAGGCCCUCCAGGAGAUCGAGGCGGUAAAUAAAAUAGCAGCGGGUAAGGCAUUUUUCAUGCAAAGUAAGCAUGUGAGUGUUAAUUACGUGUCGCUUACCCGAAUUCGGAGCUCUCCAGGAGCGUUCGCAGAUCUUCCUCGCAGCGUGUCUGAUGCUGCCGCAUUCUACCGGGCCGAGGAGGGGAGCUCGACGGAGAAGGUCUUCUGGUCUCAGUAUGCUGAGGCUGGACAUCCGGUGCCCCUUAGCGACCAGCUGAAGCAGCUGGUCGAGCUCCACAAGGCGGCCGAACAGGCCAUGAAGGGCCUCAUAGUUCGACUGUGGCAUAAGGAGGCCAUGCCUGGGAGCUACUUCGGCCUGGUGCGGCGGCUGGUGGAUGCGUGCCCGUGGGUUGAAGUCAUCAAGCACUCCGCCUGUAUUGAGGGUGCCCGUCGGGCCCUUGCCCGCGCAAAGGUGCACUGGGGCAAGAUGGAUGCCCAGAAGCUUGUGACGGACCCACCACCAGAGGGCAAGGAGGAUCGCACGCCCGAGAUGUAUUAUAAGAGUGUGUUGAAGGGCGCCCGCACUAUUGCGGGUGAGUGCUCCAAAGAUGUAAUAUUUGAGUAGACUCGCAUUUUGUUAUCCUGUGCGCUGAAAACUUAGUUCAUUUGCGCUAAGCAACACUUUUUAAUUUAAAAUAUUACCUUCUGUGCGGCUGUUUAUCAAAUCUGAGAGAUGGCAAGUCAUCGGCUUCAGCCCCCAAGCCACGAGUGCUGGGGUGUUCGGGAUAAAUUUGAGCGCUCUUGUUUCAAUAUUUGGGUCUAUCUAGGGAGGCGCUCAACACAACGAACAAGGCAACCGGACUUAUAAUGCUUGAACACUCUCACUUAGCCAUAGAAUUCUAUAAUUUUAAAUUUCGGCGAAGCCCCUAGUCUUCGGAAGGCCGAAUUUGCAGCGCUAUCCACGCCUGGGCCGGACAAAAUCUGGCUCCUCGCUCUAAGCGGCAUAAGUCUUUAAGGACUCGCAAAAACCUCUCGAACAGUGACCAGCUCUCGCCUCAUCAUAACGGUCAGUUUUAGCUUUCUCCACUGAGGCGUUAACCCAGCUCAACUGGGGCGCAAUCGUAGUGGUUCUCCCAGUGCUACCUUAGCCGAUACAAGGUACCAAAACAUGGGAGCCGGGCAAACCCAACUAUUGACCCAAGACAUGAUUCGGAGCUGAUGCAUAUAGUGCUAUAAGUUCGGGGUGCAGCACUUGUGAAAGUGUUCGGACUUAUCACACCAUGAUGCGGGAAACAUAAGCCCCUGGUGUAUUUUAGCUGUACCAAAACGUACUGAUGCGUAAUGUCAUAAAUGAACAUAUGCAUAAAAGAGAAAUGCAAUUGGAAGCAAAAGGGUGCUGCGUUACUUAUUCAAGAAAAACUGCUAUAAGUGCAGAACGAUACAAAUGGUGCGAUAAGCAAGGGAUGGGACUGUAAAAUAUGUCCCCCUCCAGGGGUAGGCUGCGGAAUGGUGCAUAAAAUAGAUUUAAUGCUCGUAAUGGAGACCACCUGGAUAUUUGCUGUAGCCUUUCUUCUUCCCUGGCUGUUGCAUCGUGAGUUCGGCAGGUCUAUUGCCGGACAGGGCCUCUGACGAACAGAGUCCUGUGGGUAAAGAGAAAAAGAAAGAAAAGAAAAAAAGAACGACACACUUAAGAGCCCCUGGUGUGGUUGAACCGCAGUCUGGGCCUAUCGUGGUCGCGCCCCUCUCCCCAUGCCCAUGGUAUCUUCAGAGCGUAAUGGUGUACGCGAAGGACCUGUCUUGACGUUUUACAGGGGCUGGGGAUGGGGCCGCACUGCUACGCGUGCUCGGAACGUGCCAGGUGGUCUUGUUGUAGGUUACUCCGGGCGCGCUUAGCUGUGUCCGGCCGUUUAACGGCCGGACUCGAGAAUUGUCUUAAGAGACUGCUUUGUACUUCUGCCGUGAGAGCCGCUGUAUGUUCCUCCGUACGGAGAGAACGUUCAGUGUUUCCGUUGACCGUGAUGACUCAUCGAGGGCCUGGCAUCUUGAGCUUGAGGUAUGCGUAGUGCGGCACCGUGUUAAACUUUGCGAACACGGUACGUCCGAGCAGGGCAUGAUAGCCGCUGCGGAACGGAACUAUGUCGAAGAUUAACUCCUCGCUCCGGAAGUUAUAUGGGGAUCCGAAGACCACUUCCAGUGUAAUUGAGCCUGUGUAAUUGGCUUCUACACCUGGUAUGACGCCUUUAAAGGUCGUCUUGGUAGGUUUAAUCCUUGAGGGGUCUAGGCCCAUUUUGCGCACUGUGUCCUGAUAAAGCAGGUUCAGGCUGUUGCCGCCGUCCAUCAGGACUCUGGUGAGGUGAAAUCCAUCGACUAUUGGGUCUAGAACCAAUGCGGCGAAUCCGCCAUGGCGGAUGCUGGUGGGGUGGUCCCUCCGGUCAAAAGUGAUCGGGCAGGAGGACCAUGGAUUGAACUUCGGGGCAACUGGCUCCAUCGCGUAUACAUCCCUGAGGGCACGCUUCCGCUCCCUUUUGGGUAUGUGCGUUGCGUAUAUCAUGUUCACCGUCCACACCUGUGGGGGGAAACGCUUUUGUCCUCUAUUGUUCGGUGGUCGGGUCUCUUCCUCGUCAUCGCUAUGCAGCCCCUUGUCACUGUUUUCGGCAAUUAACUUGCCUGUCUGCUUGAAUAUCCAACAGUCCCUGUUGGUGUGGUUAGCUGGCUUUUCAGGGGUGCCAUGUAUCUGGCACAAGCGGUCGAGUAUUCGAUCCAAAUUGAACAGACCCAGAGUAGUUCUUUUGACUGGCUUUUUCCGCUGACCGGGUUUAGAGCCUCUGAAUCCGGCAUUGACUGCCGUAUCUUCACUGUUGUCGCCGUUAAGGUGGCGUUUGUUUUUGUUACGACGCGGCCUGCCAUUACGGUCCUUGGUAUCCGGACUGCCAGAAUGUUUGCUGAGGUUGUUGCUGCGUGCUAGCCAGCUGUCCUCACCCGCGCAGAAGCGGGUCAUUAGUGAUGUGAGGGCUGCCAUGGAUUUCGGCUUUUCCUGUCCCAGGUGCCGGGCAAGCCACUCGUCGCGGAUAUUAUGCUUGAAGGCUGCAAGGGCCUCCGCAUUCAGACAGUCGACGAUUUGUUUUUUCUUGGUUAAGAACCGUGUCCAGAAUUGUCUGGCCGAUUCGUCUAGCCGCUGAAUUAUGUGGCUUAGGUCAUCAACAUCUGGUGGCCGCACAUACGUGCCUUGGAAGUUAUCGAGAAAUGCGGCUUCCAGGUCUUCCCAACUCCCAAUUGACUCUGCUGGCAAGCUGUUAAGCCAAUGCUGGGCUGGUCCUUUAAGCUUGAGGGGGAGAUAUUUGAUGGCGUGAAGAUCGUCACCGCGGGCCAUAUGGAUGUGAAGGAGAUAGUCUUCGAUCAAACCGCGGGGUCUGUUGUGCCAUCGUAAGAUUCAAUAUUCACGGGUUUAAACCCUUCGGGGAUUUGAUGAUCCAUUACUUCAUCUGUGAAGCAUAGUGGGUGUGCGGCGCCUCUGUACUGGGCGAUAUCGCGACGGAGCUCAAAAGAGCUUUGUCUGUUUUGUUCGGCCCGGCCGGACUUACUGUGUCCGGCGCGACGGUUGUCAUCACGUAUCAUGGGGCGCCCAUGCGAUCCAUAGAUCGAUCUUGAUUGUCUUGACCUAUCCUCCAAUAUAUCUCGCAAGUCCGGAGCGUUCCCCUGUGGCCUUGUGCUUUUCGAGCGAUGCCGGGGUACGGGUCUAGUGAAGGGCCUAGAGGCCUCUCUGUCGCGACCACGGGGUGGUCAAUCAGCCGUAUUGUCUCCUGGUGAUGCGGGUUCAUAUGCCUCCUCCUCUAAUCGGGGGAGCAGCUUGCGUUUAGGGUAGCUUUUGGAGGGGCAUUUGAUCUCAUGCUCUUCGGCCGCGACGACUUCAGUCCAUCUGUCGGCUAGCAGAUCUUGAUCAGCUCUAAGCUGUUGCUGCUUUUUCUUCAGGCUGUUCGCCAUGGCCAUAAGCCUGCGUUUGAAACGCUCCUGUUCGACGGGAUCCUCAGGCACGACGAAUUCAUCAUCGUCGAGGCUUGCCUCGUCUCCGGAGGGAGGCAUGUAGUCCUCUACCUCUUCUUCUGCCGCUCUCUCAUGAGGGCUGGCGUCUCCGUCCUCCUGCGCUGGAUCUUGCUGGAGUGGAUUGUCUUCGGCUCUGUCCGGUGUAUUAUUAUCUCCAGUGCCAAAAUCUUCGUUCUUGCUGUGGCGGGAUUUAGAGCGGCGCCGCUGGCGCCGACGCUUGGGCUGUUUCUUGGAGGGGUCAUCCUCCGCUGCCCCUUCGCCAUUCCCAUCCUUUGGGAUAUCCACCAUGUAUAUGUCAUAUGAUGAGGUGGCUUUCCAGUGCCCAAUAGGCGCUGGUUCUUGGUCGUCUUCGGCAUCGUCGUCCAUAUCGUCGAUGUCUUCGAAGUCGUAGUCUAGCAUGUCGGUUAGGUCAUCGACAGUGGCUACCAAGUGGGUGGUGGAUGGGCUUUGAAUUUCUUCGUCAUCCGCAUCCCAACCGUCCUGGCCGCAGUCCGGCCAGGGCUCUCCUGAUAACGAGAGAUACUUCAGCGAACUCAAGAUGUCGCCAAAAGGUGAGUGUUGAAAGAUGUCCGCCGCGGUGAACUCCAUGAUCGUCGCCCAAUCGGAUUCGAUCGGAGGGGGCGCGGGAGGUUCGGGGUCCGGCGAGGAGUCCGACACCUCGGAGUCACAAGCUUCGUGAGGGACAAGAUCAGUGUUCGGCUCUAUCGCCGUAGAGGUUGCAGCCCCCGAGGCGAUGUCUAGCCAUCCGUCCUCGAUCUGCGCAGCCGGCUCUGAAUUGAAGAUCAGAGCGGGCUCGAGUGCGGCCUCCAGGGUACUGUCCGGCAGCAGAGCUAAAUCAUGCCCAUCGUGAUAGUGCGGCACGCUCGGCUGUGGCUCGAAUCCAUCGAGGAUCAAGUCCCCAAGGAUGUCGGUCGUGCAGUUCAAACUUCCGAAUCUGACCUGACGGCCAGGGGCGUAGCUUUCGAUCUGCUCUAGAUGGCCAAGCGAAUUGGCCCGCAGUGCAAAGCCGCCGAAUACAAAGAUUUUCCCGGGGAGGAAGGUCUCACCCUAGACUACGUCGUUGAUGACGAUCGAAGAAGCCAUCGAGCCUAUUGGCGACGACACAGAGGAACUCUCAAUGAAAGCACCAAUGUCGGUGUCAAAACCGGCGGAUCUCGGGUAGGAGGUCCCGAACUGUGCGUCUAGGCGGAUGGUAACAGGAGACGAGGGACACGAUGUUUUACCUAGGUUCGGGCCCUCUUGAUGGAGGUAAAACCCUACGUCCUGCUUGAUUAAUAUUGAUGAUGUGUGUUACAAGAGUAGAUCUACCACGAGAUCAAGGAGGCUAGACCCUAGAAGCUAGCCUAUGGUAUGAUUGUUGUUCAUCCUACGGACUAAAGCCAUCCGGUUUAUAUAGACAUCGGAGAGGGCUAGGGUUACAUAGAGUCGGUUACAAUGGUAGGAGAUCUACAUAUCCGUAUCACCAAGCCUGCCUUCCACGCCAAGGAAAGUCCCAUCCGGACACGGGACGAAGUCUUCAAUCUUGUAUCUUCAUAGUCUUGGAGUCCGGCCGAUGAUGAUAGUUCGGCUAUCCGGACACCCCCUAGUCCGGAACUGCCUCAACGCUGCUCUUAGGAAGAUGGCGGUUGCAUUCAAGAACCACAAGAAUCGUGAAUGGGACAAGUACGUCAAGGGAGGAAGGAAGACUCCAGUAUUCGAGGGAACACUAGAGAACCAACGUGCUCAUUGGGACGAUUUCAUGAAAUUCAAGGAUUCGGAAUUAGCUAAGGAACGGUCGAGAAUAAAAAAGAAGAAUGCCGAAAAAAGGAUAAGUUCCAUAAGCUGGGGCCAGGUGGCUAUGCGGUGGCAAUGCCUAAGUGGGAUAAAUCUGAGAAAGAGAUGGAGGAUGCAGGUGUCACUCCGGUUACUAAGAGCUGGCCCCCCAGGUGCGGGAUUGGUUCUAUGCGCAUAGGGGGGAGUUGGACCCAAAGACAGGCAAUGUUUCGACGAGGGCAAGUCUGAAGGGCGCCGACGAUGCGAUACUUGUUGCAAUAGAAGAGGCAUGAUCGGGGGUGUUCCAGCCCAACAGAUAGAACAACGAGCUUACGCGUGCCCUGGGAAAUCCUGAACACCCGGGAAGAACACGAGGCAAGGGCGCUAUUCCGUGGUAUGAGGGGUUUUCAGACUGGAACACCGACUACAGAACCCGUGCGAGAAAGAAGAUUGCGGAGGAGAAGAAGAGGAAGAUGGAGGAGGAGCAGAGGAAGCGGGACUAUGAAUGCCUUCAAGGCCUAGAAGCAAGUCAAGCCGAAUUGGCAGUCAAAUUCCAGCGGCAGCAGGAGCAGAUCGACUCACUUAUCCAGCAAAGGGGGUCUCAGCAGCUGCAACAACUAGCGAAUGAUCCAACAUUGGAUAGCACCGCCCCAUCCAUGCCGAGAAGCAGCGUGGGUUCCACCCCGGACGAUGCAAUGCUGGAUAGAUACCCCGUGGAUGACAUCACGGAUAACACUAACUGCGAGCUACACGUCAAAAUGAAGAACAUAUCCAUGAAGGUGGCGGACGCCGUUGCUUUUACAAAUCCCCCCGAGGCAAACUUCCAUUGCAACCCGAUUCCAGCGGGCUAUGCGCGUGUCUUGGUUGAUGAGGUGGUGGACCCAUAUUCGGAGCUACAACUUGACUAUCCUGGAGGUGACGACGAGCACUUUCUCGGAGAGGCCAAACAUCGUAUCAUCCUAUGGAAAAAGGAUUGCAUCAUCUUUCGAUGGCCACCGACACCGCGUCAGCCGACUCCUCGUCGAAGUCCGCCACCGAGUCAGCAGACUCCAGCUUCUGCAAGUCCACCAAGUCCGGCAAAGUGUCAGGCCACUCCUCCUCCAAGUCCGGCAAAGUGUCAGGCCACUCCUCCUCCUCCAAGUCUGUCACAGCGUCAGAAGUCCACUCCUCCUCCAAGUCCGGCACAACCUCAGGCCACUCCUCCUCCAAGUCCGGCACAGCUUUAGGCCACUCUUCCUCGUCCAACUCAGCCCCGUCAGCCGUCUCCGCCGCCUCAGCAAUCGCAGAAGAGACACCCCGCAGCUAUGGUGCGUAGCGGUACGAGUCGAGGUAGUACAGGAAGUACAGGCGUAGGCAAGCGAUAUAAAUAUGGUCCAAGCCUCACGCCUCUUCCGUAGAGGCCUUAUGACAAGUCCGAGGAGGAAAACGCAGCCAUGUCGAAGGCCGAGGUGGAAGCCCAUUUUGCACCGAAACCGCCACCGCCGCCAAGGGAGAAAGUGCCUGAGAAAACGAUUGACCACUUCAUUCGUAUGGCUCAACCACCAGCUCCCAAGCCUGUUGACACAGACUAUGAGCGCCACAUCAGGAAGUUAAAUCGAGCACAUCUACGUAAGGAGGCGAGCUCGGGAUCGAGCAAACAACAAGCAGCUGUCAAAAAAUGCGGGAAAACCAUUCCCCAGCUGGGAGAACAGGCGGCGCAAUCGAUCCCCUCGCUUGUUGUGCCAACAACACGUGACAGUACGCGUGCCCAAUAUUAUUGUGGGCAAACAAUUUACGUUCCCGAGGUGGGCAAUGUGGUAAUAACCAAGGACCAUAUAAUGCAGGCUGAAGUUCUCAACAUCAUUAUUGGACAACUCCUCGAGAUCGAGCCCAUGCCUGUGCUUACAGAGGAUGAAAUAAAACGGAAAUAUGUCCGGGGCCAACCUUUGGUCGAGCCAGACAAGGUCAAGAACCUCCCAACGAGAAUGUAUGAAUUGCAUCAAUGGUACAUGGACAUUACCAAGAUUUCCGAUCGAUUGUCCCUCAUGGUGAAUGUCAAGGAGGAGCAUUACUUCCAUGAAAAAGCUCUGUCCGUUGAGUAUUCUGAACUGUUUUAGUUAUACUAUCAAGACGCACUCGACAAAUCUAUCGUCAGUUGCUAUUGUCUGUAAGUGAUUUCUUUCUGUAAUUUAAGUCUCAAGCUAGCUGUAGUGAUCCUUUUGAUCAAUCAUUACCUGUAAUUAUCCUCACUAUAUUAUUUUUUGUGGUAUUAUGCAGGAUGAAGAUGUAUGAAAUGAGAAAAGAUGGACGCUUUGGCAUUGGGUUCAUUGACCCAAACACCGCUAAUGAAUACACAUGGCUAAUAAAUCCACAUCAUGAAAAGGCCGUAGAGGACAACAUGCUAGAGUUCUUGAAGCGCCUCAAAUACAAUGAAGAUAUACUACUUCCUUACAACUUCCAGUGAGUCACACUGUCUUGUACUACAAAUUCUCUGUUUUUGCCUACUAGCUAGCUACAUGUUUUUUCUUACAUAUGCCCGCUUAAUUAAGACAUGCAAAUGUGUGUGCAUGCAGAUUUCACUGGAUGUUGUGUAUCAUUAAAGUUGAGGCCGGAACAGUUGAAAUACUGGACUCACUACUCAAAGAAAAUACUGACUAUAACAUCUUGUUUGGGAUAGUCAACAGGUAAUUUCAAUCAUUAUUAACUAUAUAUCUCGGCCUAUUUAGUUCGUCAUUUCAUGAUAUGAACUAUUUAAUAACCCCUUUAUUCAUUUUCUUUGUCGGCGGGCAGGGCUUGGGCAAGGUUCAUCAGCGUCAUGGAAGGCGAAUGGAAAAAAAGCUUAAAUGGUUUCGACCCAAGGUAAGUAAUUAAGUAGUACUAGCUAGCUAGCUAGCUGCCAUCUUUUUAAUUAUCAUGCUUGAUUAAUUAUUAUCUGAUCAAAUUCCAUUCUCGUAAAGGCCCUGAAGCAGGCGCAGGGGACUGAUCUGUGUGCAUUCUGCGUUUGCGAGAACAUUCGCAUGGUGGCGUCCGAAAGGAGCAGAUCUCAAAGACAGGAAUGGGUACGGUUGUCAGAACACUAUUCACAAUUUUUACACCAUUAUCGAUAUCUAGUCACACAACUAAUACACAUGCAUAUUGAUCUCCUUCUUAACAGUUCAGAGAGAUGCAGAAGAAGCUCCUAGAAACGGAGCGCGUAGAAGCACUUUAAGAGGAAAUAGCGGGAUAUUUGCUCGACCAGAUCAUAAAUCCGAAGGGAGAAUACUAUUACCCGCUACCGCCCCCAUGAAAACCACUUCCAAUUGUCAUCGUGCUCCGAAGGCACCAAUUAGGCUAAUGCCACUGCCUCCGAAGGCAACAUGCAUAUAUAGGAGAAAUUGUAUAUAGCUAUACAUGUGUGUAUGUGUGAAUUAAUUAAUAUGGUGGUUUGUGAGACAUUGAUGAUAUAUAUAUGCAUGAUUGGUUCUACUAGANNNNNNNNNNNNNNNNNNNNNNNNNNNNNNNNNNNNNNNNNNNNNNNNNNNNNNNNNNNNNNNNNNNNNNNNNNNNNNNNNNNNNNNNNNNNNNNNNNNNNNNNNNNNNNNNNNNNNNNNNNNNNNNNNNNNNNNNNNNNNNNNNNNNNNNNNNNNNNNNNNNNNNNNNNNNNNNNNNNNNNNNNNNNNNNNNNNNNNNNNNNNNNNNNNNNNNNNNNNNNNNNNNNNNNNNNNNNNNNNNNNNNNNNNNNNNNNNNNNNNNNNNNNNNNNNNNNNNNNNNNNNNNNNNNNNNNNNNNNNNNNNNNNNNNNNNNNNNNNNNNNNNNNNNNNNNNNNNNNNNNNNNNNNNNNNNNNNNNNNNNNNNNNNNNNNNNNNNNNNNNNNNNNNNNNNNNNNNNNNNNNNNNNNNNNNNNNNNNNNNNNNNNNNNNNNNNNNNNNNNNNGUAGUAUCGUAAAAUACCAGCAAACGAAAAAGAAUUAAAAUGGAAACACAAAAUUAAAUGAAAAAGAAAUCAUAAAACUAAAAAAACCCCAAACCUUAUAGUACCGGUUGGUCUUACCAACCGGUACUAAAGGGCUCCAGGCCCCCGGAGCUGGCUCGUGCCACGUGGUUGACUUUUAGCACCGGUUCGUGCUGAACAGGUACUAAAGCGGGGGGAGGGGGGCUUUAGUGCCCACACUUUCGUGCCGGUUAUGGAACCGGCACUAAAGGGCCUUACGAACCGGUGCUAUUGCCCGGUUCUGCACUAGUGCGUCCCGGCCAUGGAGAACGUGCACGGCGCGCUUGCCGUGGCCGGGCUGGGUGAAGCCGUAAAGGUCACGACGGCCAUAUCGCAGGCCACCAUUGCCGUCCACGUGCUGCCGUCAGCGGUGAGUUCGCCGACGAGUCCAAGCCGUUCCUGCUCCCCGUGCUGCAGUUCCUGGAGCGCAUCGGCGCGCUGCUCCUUGCGAACCUAUACCCGUACUUCGUCUACACGUACAAGGCCGCCGGCGACAUGGACGUCGGCUUCAUGCUGUUCACGGCGCCGGGGACGGUGGUGCAGGACGGCGAGUACGGGUACCAGAACAUGUUCGACGCGAGCGUGGACGCGGUGCAUGCAGCGGUGGAGCGGCUCGGGGUGAGCGGCGUGGACGUGGUGGUNNNNNNNNNNNNNNNNNNNNNNNNNNNNNNNNNNNNNNNNNNNNNNNNNNNNNNNNNNNNNNNNNNNNNNNNNNNNNNNNNNNNNNNNNGGAGAACGCGAGGACGUACAACCAGAACCUGGUGGGUCACGUGGGGAAGGGCACGCGGCGGCGGCCGUGGAAGGUGAAGACGUACGUGUUCUCCAUGUUCAACGAGAACCUCAAGGAGGCCGGCGUUGAGCAGAACUGGGGCCUCUUCUAUCCCAGCACCGGUAGGGUCUACCCCAUCACCUUCGACAAGUGAAGAAGUUAGAUUGAGUCCAUGGGUGCGUCGUCCAUCCAUGUACGCGGCCAUGAUCAUUGUCCGAUAGACGUGUAUAUACAGUAUAUAUAUUUAUUGAGUGUGUAUUUGUGUGGCCGAAUUUUAACAUUUGAUUUAAUUUACACUUUUCGGUACACCCUCUAAACACAAGGACGGUUCAGAUUAGCCCAUACUCUUCAUAAGAAAGGGUAUGCUAGUCAUAUUUUAUAAACUCUUCGCCCGCCAUGUACGUAUACAUCGUACAUGGAGUAGCGUCACACACCCCUUCGCCCCUGUCCCAGUCCUCUUGGAUCACUUCCACCCACUAUAACCAAACUGGGAUAGCUCACUUGUUGUGCCUAAUUACCUCUUUUAUUCUUGUUGUUGUGCAUCUUCUCAGUCUGGUUUUCUUUUUAUUUUUCCUUUUGUUUUGCUUUUUUUUCUUCAGUUUCAUUUUGUUUUUUAUUUUUGUUUAUUUCUUCUUAUUUUAAACUUUCCUUUCUCAUUUUCAAAUUUAUGAACCUUUUUCAAAUCCAUGAAACUUAUUUUUCCAAUCCAUUUUUUUCAAAUGAAUGAAUGUUUUUUAUUUUGCAAACUUUUUCAGAUUCAUGAUGUUUUAUGUCAAAUUCAUGAUUUUUUAAAUUGACAAAAAAAUUCAAUUUCACAAACUUUUUCCAAAUCGUGAACUUUUUUUGGUCAAAUUUAUUAACUUCUUUGUCAAAUUCGUGUUUUUUUAAAUCUAUGAACCUUUUCAAUUUCAUAGAAUUUUUUGUCACAUUCCUGUACUUUUUUCAAAUCAAUGAUUUUUUGUAAACUUGUCAACUUUUCUUUAAUCUCUAGAUGUGCGGUAGAAACCGAAAACUUGGUUUUUACCAUUCUAUUUAUUCUAAAUUUCGGAUAGCAAAACAAUAAACCGAAAGAACAGCAAAAGCAGCUAACCGAUAAUUCAAUUAACCGGCUUAUUCGAUUCGGUGUUCAGUUUACACCGAGAAAACUUGUCAAACGUGUUGCUUUUUAUUAUGAUACUCCGUCGCAUCAUAUAGAAGAGCUCUGCGCCCCCAUUUUCGGAGAUCAGUGGGGCGGGACUAAAUUGGGCGCUAUGGGAGGCUGGGUGCACGCUUGACCGAAAGGCUCUCGCAGGUUUGGGCCUUCUAGUCGAGUCAGCCCAUGUGGCAUACUCGCUACUUAGCGUGGGCUUGGCCGGUUGGGUCCUUAGAGCAUCUCCAGCAGCGCCCCCCAACAGGCCGCCCAGGGCGACUUUUUUCGCGCCAACGCCGAACNNNNNNNNNNNNNNNNNNNNNNNNNNNNNNNNNNNNNNNNNNNNNNNNNNNNNNNNNNNNNNNNNNNNNNNNNNNNNNNNNNNNNNNNNNNNNNNNNNNNNNNNNNNNNNNNNNNNNNNNNNNNNNNNNNNNNNNNNNNNNNNNNNNNNNNNNNNNNNNNNNNNNNNNNNNNNNNNNNNNNNNNNNNNNNNNNNNNNNNNNNNNNNNNNNNNNNNNNNNNNNNNNNNNNNNNNNNNNNNNNNNNNNNNNNNNNNNNNNNNNNNNNNNNNNNNNNNNNNNNNNNNNNNNNNNNNNNNNNNNNNNNNNNNNNNNNNNNNNNNNNNNNNNNNNNNNNNNNNNNGGGGUGCGCUCGGGGGCUCCGGCAGAAGGAAAAAACACGCCUGGGCCACACUGUCAGGCGAAAAGACAAGGCAAUCGUCCAGAUUCGCCCUCCACCGCCGCGCGCUCGGCCACCACCCUGCCGAUUGAUGUCUACUACACAACCUUCUUCUUGUAGACGUUGUUGGGGCUGCAAGUGCACAGGUUUGUAGGACAGUAGCAAAUUUUCCUCAAAUGGAUGACCUAAGGUUUAUUAAUCCGUAGGAGGCGUAGGAUGAAGAUGGUCUCUCUCAAACAACCUUGCAACCAAAUAACAAAGAGUCUCUUGUGUCCCCAACACACCCAAUACAAUGGUCAAUUGUAUAGGUGCACUAGUUCGGCGAAGAGAUGGUGAUACAAGUGCAAUAUGGAUGAUAGAUAUAGGUUUUUGUAAUCUGAAAUAAUAAAAACAGCAAGGUAACAAGUGGUAAAAGUGAGCGUAAACGGUAUUGCAAUGAUAGGAAACAAGGCCUAGGGUUCAUACUUUCACUAGUGCAAGUUCUCUCAACAAUAAUAACAUAGAUAGAUCAUAUAACAAUCCCUCAACAUGCAACAAAGAGUCACUCCAAAGCCACUAAUAGCGGAGAACAAACAUAGAGAUUAUGGUAGGGUACGAAACCACCUCAAAGUUAUUCUUUCGGACCGAUCUAUUAAAGAGUUCGUACUAGAAUAACACCUUAAGACACAAAUCAACCAAAACCCCAAUGUCACCUAGAUACUCCAUUGUCACCUCAAGUAUCCGUGGGCAUGAUUAUACGAUAUGCAUCACACAAUCUCUGAUUCAUGCAACCAACACAAAGUACUUCAAAGAGUGCCCCAAAGUUUCUACCGGAGAGUCAAGAACGUGUGCCAACCCCUAUGCAUAGGUUCAUGGCGAAACCCGCAAGUUGGUCACCAAAACAUACAUCAAGAGGCACAUGAUAUCCCAUUGUCACCACAGAUAAACACGACAAGACAUACAUCAAGUGUUCUCAAAUAAAGACUCAAUCCGAUAAGAUAACUUCAAAGGGGAAACUCAAUUCAUCACAAGAGAGUAGAGGGGGAGAAACAUCAUAAGAUCCAACUACAAUAGCAAAGCUCGGGAUACAUCAAGAUCGUGCCAUACGAGAGAGAACACGAGAGAGAGAGAGAGAUCAAACACAUAGCUACUUGUACAUACCCUUAGCCCCGAGGGUGAACUACUCCCUCCUCGUCACGGAGAGCGCCGGGAUGAUGAAGAUGGCCACCGGUGAAGGAUUCCCCCCUCCGGCAGGGUGCCGGAACCGGCCCCCGAAAGGUUUUUGGUGGCUACAGAGGCUUGCGGCGGCGGAACUCCCGAUCUAUCUUGAUUUCUGAUAUUUUUAGGGUAAGUAGGCAUAUAUAGGCGAAAGAAGUCGGCCGGGGGGUGCUCGAGGGGUCCACGAGACAGGGGGCUGCACCCUGUAGGGGGGGGGGCUAUCUCCUGGGCUCCUCGAGGAUCUUCUGACUUGAUCUCCAAGCCUCCAGGAUGAUAUUCUUCCAAAAAAUCACGAUGCCGAAGGUUUCAUUCCGUUUGGACUUCGUUUGAUAUUCCUUUUCCUCGAAAUACUAAAACAGGCAAUAAAACAGCAAUAUGGGCUGGGCCUCCGUUUAAUAGGUUAGUCCCAAAAGUAAUAUAAAAGUGUAUAAUAAAGCCCAUAAUCAUUCAAAACACAUAGUAAUGUAGCAUGAAUGCUUCGUAAUUUAUAGAUACGUUGGAGACGUAUCAGCAUCCCCAAGCUUAAUUCCUACUCGUCCUUGAGUAGGUAAAUGAUAAAAGAAAGAAUUUAUGAAGUGUGAAUGCUAGAAGGUGCACAAGUUUGAUCAAUGAUAAUAUGUCAUAACAGUAGUUCAUCUCAUAAAACUUCUCACGAUAAAGUAACAAGCAAUUCACAUGUCAAAGAAUAGACCAUAAACUUUCUUGAAAACUAGCAAACUUCAUUCUUAGUCAUCAAAACAAUUGCAAUUCAUCCUAUUUUUAGGAAGGGUUUAUGUCAGAGCUUUAAUUUAGCAAACUUCACAUACUAAACUAUCAUAUAGUCUUCUACAAUUGCUAAAACUCACGCAAUACUUGUGGUUAUGAAGUUUUAAUCAGACACAGAGAAAGAUUGGGGCUUAUAAUGUUGCCUCCAAACGUAUUCACCUUUGGGUGAUGUCAACAAUAAUAGUUCAUGCUAACGUACAUCCAAUUGGAUAUAUAUAUCAGGAUCACCCUAACACAAAGUGCUUGCCAAAGGAUAAAAUGAAAAAGGGAAAGGUGAAGAUCACCUUGACUCUUGCAUAAAAGUAAAAGAUAGGCCCUUCGCAGAGAGAAUCAGAGGUUGCCAUGCGCUUUUAGGGUUGGAUACACAAAAUCUUAAUGCAAAAGAACGUCACUUUAUAUUGCCCCUUGUAUAUGGACCUUUAUUAUGCAGUCCGUUGCUUUUAUUGCUUCCAUAAGAAGUUCAUACAAAGCUUAUUUUCUCCGCACUAAUAAGUCAUGCAUAUUUAGAGAGCAAUUUUUAUUGCUUACACCGAUGACAACUUACUUGAAGGAUCUUACUCAAUCCAUAGGUAGAUAUGGUGGACUCUCAUGGCAAAACUGGGUUUGAGGAUAUUUGGAAGCACAAGUAGUAUCUCUACUUGGUGCUAGGAAUUUCUGGCUAGCAUUAGGGGGAAAGGCAAGCUCAACAUGUUUGAAUGAUCCAUGACAAUAUACUUUGAUUGAGAUGCGAGGAAACAUAACCCAUUACGUUGUCUUACUUGCCCAACAUCAAGUCUUUAGCAUGUCAUACUUAAUGAGUGCUCACAAUUAUAAAAGAUGUCUAUGAUAAUAUAUUUAUAUGUGAAAUCUCUUUUCCUUCAAUAUUCUUUCAUGAAUUGUUCAAAUGACUAAUACAAUGCUUGCUAACCGUCAAUAAAUUUACAACCUCUACUUCUUAGAUGUGAAGUCAUUACUCCCCAUGGAGUAAGCAAAUGAAACGUAUAUAAUUUCAUAUUUAUGACAUUCAACUCAUUCAACCAUUUACUCAAGUGAAGCACAAGAGUAAAUGACAAACUACUCCAAAAAGAUAUAAGUGAAGAUCAAUGAGUAGCUAAAUAAUUAUGCAACUAUAUGAAGACUCUCUCUCAUUUAAGAAUUUCAGAUCUUGGGAUUUUAUUCAAACAGCAAGCAAAAUAAAAUAAAAUUACAUUGCAAGGAUAGCACAACUCAUGUGAAGAAGCAAAAACUUAGGCUCGACCGAUACUAACCGAUAGUUGUUGAAGAAGAAAGGUGGGAUGCCUACCGGGGCAUCCCCAAGCUUAGAUGCUUGAGACUUAUUGAAAUAUUAUCUUGGGGUGCAUUGGGCAUCCCCAAGCUUGAACUUUGUGUCUCUUUAAUUCCUCUCGUGUCAUGGUUUCUUUUUAUCAAAAAGCUUCAUUCACAACAAACUCAACAAGAACCCGUGAGGUAGGUUAGUAUAAACCAAUGCAAAACCUUAUCAUUUUCUACUGUAAAAAAUCACUAAAAUAAUUAUUCAACAUUGAAUAAUAAAUUCCUCUGCAUAUUUAAUACUCCUAUCAUCAAAUAGAAUCAUUAAACAAUCAAACAUAUGCAAACAAUGCAAACAUAACAGCAAUCUGCAAAAACAGUAUAGUCUGUAAAGAAUGCAAGAUUCAUCAUACUUACCUAACUCCAAAAAUUAUUAAAGAAAAUUCCCACUGUAAUAAAUUUAUCAGAGCUCAAUAUGAAAAAGAUUUCAACAUUAUACCAUUCUCUGACUUUUCUAGGGAAUUUUUGCAAUAGCGGUAAACUUUCUGUUUUCAAACAGCAACAUGUAUACUAGCAAAAUAAGCAUGGCAAAGGCUAUCCUUGACAUUUUUAUUGAAACAAGAGAUGAAAAACAUUAUUCUAAAUAACAUCAAGCAAAUGCUAACAAAAUAAAAUGACGCUCCAAGCAAAACACAUAUCAUGUGGUGAAUAAAAAUAUAGCUCCAAGUAAAGUUACCGAUGAACGAAGACGAAAGAGGGGAUGCCUUCUGGGGCAUCCCCAAGCUUAGGCUCUUGGUUGUCCUUGAAUAUUACCUUGGGGUGACUUGGGCAUCUCCAAGCUUAGGCUCUUUCCACUCCUUAUUCCAUAGUCCAUCGAAUCUUUACCCGAAACUUGAAAACAUCAACCACACAAAACUCAAAACAAAACUCGUAAGCUCCGUUAGUAUAAGAAAAUAAAACCACCACAUAAGUACUGUAAUGAACUCAUUCUACAUUCAUAUUGGUGUAAAACCUACUUUAUUCCAACUUCUCCAUGGUUCAUACCACUUAAUACUACCCAUAGAUGCAUCAAAAUAAGCAAACAACACAAUGAAAACAGAAUCUGUCAAAAACAGAACAGUCUGUAGUAAUAUGUAUCAAACGUAUACUUCUGGAACUCAAACAAUUCUAAAAUAAAUUUCUUCACCUGAGGAAUUUGUCUAUUAAUCAUCUUCAAAAAGAAUCAACCUAAAAUCACUCUCCAGUAAAAAAUGGCAGCUAAUCUCGUGAGCGCUAAAGUUUAUGUUUUCUACAGCAAGAUCACAUAAACUUCACCCAAGUCUUCCCAAAGGUUCUACUUGGCACUAUAUUGAAACAAAAGCUAUAAAACAUGAUUAAUACAGUAGCAUAAUCAUGUGGACACACAAAAACAGUAAGGAUAAAUAUUGGGUUGUCUCCCAACAAGCGCUUUUCUUUAAUGCCUUUCUAGCUAGGCAUGAUGAUGACAAUGAUGCUCACAUAAAAGAUAAGAAUUGAAACAUAAAGAGAGCAUCAUGAAGAAUAUGACUAUCACAUUUAAGUCUAACCCACUUCCUAUGCAUAGGGAUUUUGUGAGCAAACAACUUAUGGGAACAAUAAUCAACUAGCAAAGGAAGAUAAAACAAGCAUAGCUUCAAGAUUUUAAGCACAUAGGGAGGAAACUUGAUAUUAUUGCAAUUCCUACUAGCAUAUAUUACUCCCUCAUAAUAAUAUUCAGUAGCAUCAUGAAUGAAUUCAAAAAUAUAACCAGCACCUAAAGCAUUCUUUUCAUGAUCUACAAGCAUAGAAAAUUUACUACUCUCAACAUAAGCAAAUUUCUUCUCAUGAAUAGUAGUGGGAGCAAACUCAACAAAAUAACUAUCAUGUGAGGCAUAAUCCAAUUGAAAAAUAAAAUCAUGAUGACAAGUUUCAUGGAUAUCAUUAUUAUUAAUAGCAUACAAGUCAUCACAAUAAUCAUCAUAGAUAGCAACUUUGUUCUCAUAAUCAAUUGGAACCUCUUCCGAAAUAGUGGAAUCAUCACUAAAUAAAGUUGACACUCUUCCAAAUCCACUUUCAUGUUCAUCACAAUAAGAUUCAACAUCCUCCAAAAUAGUGGGAUCACUACUUCCUAAAGUUGACACUCUUCCAAACCCACUUUCAUCAAUAUAAUCAUCAUAAGUAGGAGGCAUGCUAUCAUCAAAAUAAAUUCGCUCAUCAAAACUUGGGGGACAAAAAAUAUCAUAUUCAUCAAACAUAGCUUCCCCAAGCUUGUGGCUUUGCAUAUCAUUAGCAUCAUGGAUAUUCAAGGAAUUCAUACUAACAACAUUGCAAUCAUUCUCAUCAUUCAAAGAUUUAGUGUCAAACAUUCUAUAGAUUUUUUCUUCUAGCACGUGAGCACAAUUUUCCUUACCAUCAUACUCACGAAAGAUAUUAAAAAGACGAAGUGUAUGAGACAAACUUAACUCCAUUUUUUUGUAAUUUUCUUUUAUGAACUAAACUACUGAUAAAACAAGAAACAAAAAGAUUCGAUUGCAAGAUCUAUUGCAAGAUCUAAAGAUAUACCUUCAAGCACUCACCUCCCCGGUAAGGGCGCCAGAAAAGAGCUUGAUGUCUACUACACAACCUUCUUCUUGUAGACGUUGUUGGGCCUGCAAGUGCACAGGUUUGUAGGACAAUAGCAAAUUUCCCUCAAGUGGAUGACCUAAGGUUUAUCAAUCCGUAGGAGGCGUAGGAUGAAGAUGGUCUCUCUCAAACAACCCUGCAACCAAAUAACAAAGAGUCUCUUGUGUCCCCGACACACCCAAUACAGUGGUAAAUUGUAUAGGUGCACUAGUUCGGCGAAGAGAUGGUGAUACAAGUGCAAUAUGGAUGAUAUAUAUAGGUUCUUGUAAUCCAAAAUAAUAAAAACAGCAAGGUAACAAGUGGGAAAAGUGAGCGUAAACGGUCUUGCAAUGAUAGGAAACAAGGCCUAGGGUUCAUACUUUCACUAGUGCAAGUUCUCUCAACGAUAAUAACAUAGAUAGAUCAUAUAACAAUCCCUCAACAUGCAACAAAGAGUCACUCCAAAGCCACUAAUAGCGGAGAACAAACGUAGAGAUUAUGGUAGGGCACGAAACCACCUCAAAGUUAUUAUUUCGGAUCGAUCUAUUAAAGAGUUCGUACUAGAAUAACACCUUAAGACACAAAUCAACCAAAACCCCAAUGUCACCUAGAUACUCCAUUGUCACCUCAAGUAUCCGUGGGCAUGAUUAUACGAUAUGCAUCACACAAUCUCAGAUUCAUCCAACCAACACAAAGUACUUCAAAGAGUGCCCCAAAGUUUCUACUGGAGAUUCAAGAACGUGUGCCAACCCCUAUGCAUAGGUUCAUGGGCAGAACCCGCAAGUUGGUCACCAAAACAUACAUCAAGAGGCACAUGAUAUCCCAUUGUCACCACAGAUAAACACGGCAAGACAUACAUCAAGUGUUCUCAAAUAAAGACUAAAUCCGAUAAGAUAACUUCAAAGGGGAAACUCAAUUCAUCACAAGAGAGUAGAGGGGGAGAAACAUCAUAAGAUCCAACUACAAUAGCAAAGCUCGGGAUACAUCAAGAUCGUCCCAUACAAGAGAGAACACGAGAGAGAGAGAGAGAGAUCAAACACAUAGCUACUGGUACAUACCCUCAGCCCUGAGGGUGAACUACUCCCUCCUCGUCAUGGAGAGCGCCGGGAUGAUGAAGAUGGCCACCGGUGAAGGAUUCUCCCCUCCGGCAGGGUGCCGGAACGGGCUCCCGAAAGGUUUUCGGUGGCUACAGAGGCUUGUGGCGGCGGAACUCCCGAUCUAUCUUGAUUUCUGAUGUUUUUAGGGUACGUAGGCAUAUAUAGGCGAAAGAAGUCGGUCGGGGGGGUGGUCGAGGGGUCCACGAGACAGGGGGCCACGCCCUGUAUGGGGGGGGGGGGCGCCCCCUAUCUCCUGGGCUCCUCGAGGAUCUUCUGACUAGAUCUCCAAGCCUCCAGGAUGAUAUUCUUCCAAAAAAUCACGAUGCCAAAGGUUUCAUUCCGUUUGGACUCCGUUUGAUAUUCCUUUUCCUCGAAAUACUGAAACAGGCAAUAAAACAGCAAUAUGGGCUGGGCCUCCGGUUAAUAAGUUACUCCCAAAAGUAAUAUUAAAGUGUAUAAUAAAGCCCAUAAUAAUUCAAAACACAUAGUAAUAUAGCAUGAAUGCUUCAUAAAUUAUAGAUAUGUUGGAGACGUAUCACUGAUCCCAGCGCCACCCACCGCACAACACCGCUAGAUAGUCCAUUCCCCACCGCGAAAGAGAGAAGAUUUCGCCGCGGCAACCUCUCCACCAUCUUUCGGGCGAGUUUUUUGGCGCUGCGGUCGCGUAGUGCGGUAUACCGGUGGUUGUGCGCCCACCACGCCCGCCAGGUGUUUGGUGAUUUUUCUUCUCGGCGAUGGACUCGGAUGACAAGGAGGCGCUCGCGGCAUUGCUGGAGGAGGAAGCCGAUGCCGACGUCCAGGACGAGGAGCAUCUCAUGGUCCUCGCCACCCUCGUCGGCCUACUCGCGAGCAAUCAAAAGCUGUGGUGAGGUGGCUCGGCGCUGGGGUGGCUGAAAGCAAAUAUUCCUUGGCUCCCAUGGCGUGGGAGGGGCGAGAGCCCCUCCGAUAUUGGAUCUAUCUCUCUGUUUCUGCGUUCUCAGAUUCUGCCCCUUCAUCGUUUCUUUUAUAUCCGGAGAUCUGUAACUCUGAUUGGGGUGAAUCCUUCGCCAAGAUCUUUCUCAUAAAAUUAGCUUUCUUGCUGCAAAAGAGGAGCGUGAACCGCCUUACUGCUGGCCCAGGAGAGUCUAGGGCGCGCCUGCCUCCCUGGGGCGCGCCCCCUAUCUUCUGGCCCCCUCGGGCACCGUCUCGCGUUGAUUUUACUUCCCAAAAAUCAAAAAUAUUCCAAAAUAAUUCUCCGUCCGUUUUUAUCCCGUUUGGACUCCGUUUUAUAUGGGUUUUCUGCAAAACAUAAAACAUGCAACAAACAAGAACUGGCACUGGGCACUGCAUCAAUAUGUUAGUCCUAAAAAUAGUAUAAAAAGUUGCCAAAAGUAUAUGAAAGUUGAAUAAUAUUGGCAUGGAACAAUCAAAAAUUAUAGAUACGACGGAGACGUAUCAAUGAUAUCAUGCCAACUUGGAACCUUUUCAGAGUUCAUUUCAAAUGUUUUUCAAUUUCAUGGUCUUAUAGCUUAAAAUUAUCACUAAAUGCAUGAAAAAUAACAAAUGAAGUCAGAAAGGGUUGUAAAUUGAUGAUGCGGCUUUGAAUGGUGCAUUUUGAACACAGAAAAACAAGGGAGUUCAAAUAAGUUCAAAAAAAUUAAAUCUCUUUGUAACAGACGAGUUUCCGUAUGAAACCUUGAUACUUCAAAAGAGAUUGUCUGUUUUGUACACGAAGUGUAUCCAGUUUUUGCCGUAACCCUCUCUACUUUCUCGCACAUGCUAUGUGGGUGAAAGGAUGAUACCAUGCCAACUUGGAACCUUUUCAGAGUUCAUUUCAAAUGCUUUUCAAUUUCAUGGUCUUAUAGCUCAAAGUAAUCAGUAAAUGCGUGAAAAAUAACAAAUGAAGUCAGAAAGGGUUGUAAAUUGAUGAUGUGGCUUUGAAUGGUGCAUUUUGAACACAGAAAAACAAUGGAGUUCAAAUAAGUUCAAAAAAUGAAAUCCCUUUGUAAUAGACGAGUUUCCGUAUGAAACCCUGAUACUUCGAAAGAUAUUGUCCGUUUUGUACACGAAGUGCAUCCUGUUUUUGCCGUAACCCUCUCUACUUUCACGCACAUGCUAUGUGGGUGAAAUGAUGAUACCAUGCCAACUUGGAACCUUUUCAGAGUUAAUUUCAAAUGCUUUUCAAUUUCAUGGUCUUAUAGCUUAAAAUAAUCAGUAAAUGCAUGAAAAAUAACAAAUGAAGUCAGAAACAAAUAAAAUAAAAUAAAUAAGUAAUUUGAAACAAAAUAAUAUAAACUUUAAUAAAAUAGAUAAGUAGAAACAAAAAAAACUUUAAUAACAUAAAUAAAAUUUAUGAAACUAAAAUUAUCAAAGUAUUUUCUGUUCAAAACAUUAUAAGCAACCUCUANNNNNNNNNNNNNNNNNNNNNNNNNNNNNNNNNNNNNNNNNNNNNNNNNNNNNNNNNNNNNNNNNNNNNNNNNNNNNNNNNNNNNNNNNNNNNNNNNNNNNNNNNNNNNNNNNNNNNNNNNNNNNNNNNNNNNNNNNNNNNNNNNNNNNNNNNNNNNNNNNNNNNNNNNNNNNNNNNNNNNNNNNNNNNNNNNNNNNNNNNNNNNNNNNNNNNNNNNNNNNNNNNNNNNNNNNNNNNNNNNNNNNNNNNNNNNNNNNNNNNNNNNNNNNNNNNNNNNNNNNNNNNNNNNNNNNNNNNNNNNNNNNNNNNNNNNNNNNNNNNNNNNNNNNNNNNNNNNNNNNNNNNNNNNNNNNNNNNNNNNGAAUUUUCAUAAAGAACUUUUUUUGUUAGAAACUUUAAUAGCAAAAAGAAUUAUCAUAAAAUAAAAUUAAUAAGUAAUUAUAAACAAAAUAAAAUAAAAUAAAUAAGUAUUUUGUUGUAAGUAGAAACAAAACAAAAUAAAUAAAGCAAAAAAGAAAACAUAAAAAACUAGGAAAAAAUAAAAAAUUUGCCACCAACUGGGCCACCACGGCCUGAAUACGACUAGAAACCCAUCCAUGGGCCAGGAUUCAGGCAUAAUAGUAACAAUUAGGCCCGUAUGCCUGGAACGGAGAGGAUCUCGAGAGGGGUGCGGCAGUGGGGCUUAUAAACCACUGUGCGCCCCUCUAAACUAGUGAGGUGGGACUAAACUUUGGCCGCGACGCGGGCAGCACAGGGGUCUUUGGUCCCGGUUGGUGGCACCAACCGGGACUAAUGCACCCUUUAGUCCCGGUUCGUGCCACCAACCAGGACUAAAGGCCUUCCUAUAUAAGUUCACACUUAAGAAUUUUUCACUCUCAUCUCGCAGUUACCGCCACCGACGACGCCGGCGACAUCGACGCCGCCCGCCGUCCCGUCGUCGCCGUCGCCGUCGCUGUCGCUCGUGCCCUCGCUGUCGCCCGCUCCCCUGCCCCGACGCGCGCCACCCGCGCCGGCCCGGCCCGCCCCCGUCGUCUCCGUCGCCGUCGCCCCUACCCCGCCCCCAUCGUCGCCAUCGCCCCCGCCGUCGCCGUCGCCGUCCUCCUCACUUGGUCCGGCCGGCGCAGCAUUUUUUUUCAUAUAUAUAUAUAUAUAUGCUUAUUUUUUCAUAUGUAUAUGCUUGUUUUUUCAUAUAUAUGAUGAUAUAUAUUCUUGUUAUCAUAAUUGUUUUUUUCAUAUAUAUAUAUGAUGAUUUUUUAUAGAAUAUGAUGCUUUUUUUCAUAGAUGAUCACAUAUAUAUAUAUGAUGUAUGCAUGGAUGUGGAUGAAAUAUAUGAUAUUUUUUGUUCAUAGGACAUGAUGUUUUUUUAUUCAUAGUUUUUUUUCAUGAGAGAGGCGGGGACGUCGAGGGAUCAUAGAUGUAAUAUUUUCAGAAUUUUCUAUCGUGCAUAGACCAAUUUUAGACCACGGGAUAGGAAAAAAGAAAAUAAGAAGAGGAAGAAAGAAGAAGAGGAGAGGAAGAAGAGGAGAAAUAAAUAAGAAGAGGAAAAAAGAAGAAAAAGAAGUGGAGAAGAAGAAAGGAAUAGAGGAGAAAGAAGAAAAAGAAGAGGAGAAGAAGAAGAAAAAAAUGGAAAAAGGAAUAGAGGAGAAAGAAGAAAAAAAUGAAAAAAUUUCCAUUUGCUUCUUCUUUCUCCUCUAUUCCUUUCUUCUUCUCCUUUUUUUCUUCUUUUUUUUCUUCGAUUGCUUCUCUUCUAUUCCUUUCUUCUUCCCCUCUUUUUAUUUCUUCUUAUUUUUUAUCGGGUAUGUCAUUGUCGAUAUACCCUAUCCCGAUAACUUCAACACGAGGGGGGGUGGAUAUACCCCCUCCCCGAUAACAUUAUUUUCCCAUGUAUGCAUGUCACAUCGUUGUCGAUAUAACCCCCUCCCGGAUAACUUCGACAUGAGGGGCGGUCGAUAUAUAUACCCUCUUUCGUCCGUGAUAACUUAUACCAUGGGAGGACCCCCCUUGGCCCUCUCGCUCGACCAAAACUCUCGAGGACACCCAAACCCUAGAAAAAAAUGAUGUUGGUCUUCUACCCCCUCCCGCCGCGCCCCUACCCGACAAACUCUCUCGAGGCCACCCCAAUUUACCAAGUUAAAAGAGCAUUGUCGUCGAGGCCACCCCAAACCCCUUGAAGCAUUGUCGAGGCCACCACAAACCCUUGAAGCGUUGCCGAGGCCACCCCAAACCCUAGAGAAGCAGCGUCGAGGCCACUAAUAUGAUUCCUUAUUGUGAUUAUAUUAGCUAGCUAGUUCAGCGUUUGCCACUAAUAUAUCCAGCUAUCAUGUUUGAAUAAUAAUUGCCAUGUUGUAAAUAUUUGCAGAAACUAUGGAGCAGCCCCGAGACGAAGAAACAGAAGAUAUGUUGGGGGACAUAAUUGCAAAGGGAAGUGAUGUCGUUGCGUCGUUUCUCAACGACACCGAUGGUCUGGAAGGACCGGGUAGUGAAGAAGAAGGUUAUGAUUAUGAUGGCUCCGGUGACCCAAUGACGGCUCCGGUACAAGAAGAAGUAUACCAUCAUGACGGCUCCGGUGAAUGAACCGAGUCCGGCCAGGUAUAUAUAUUAGUUAAGCCUGUGCUGACUAGAUAAUUUAUGCAUUCAUUGUUUUCAUAUGUACACAUAUUAAUUAACUCUGGUCUUUCUUCUUUUCUCUAGCCCUCCGGAUCGAGCAAAACUUCGGUAAAGAAACGAGGCCCAAAGAAAAAGUUGCGCUCGGAUGAAAGGUUUGAGAUCACAGCAAUCGCGCGCGAUGGCAAGACGAUUGAACCCAUCCGGACAAGGGAUGCAUUUCGUGCUCAGUUCGGAGUUCUUGUUAGGGACAAGAUCCCGAUCAGUAUCCAGCAAUGGUUAAAGCCUAAGAAGGAAGACCCUGAGGUGUCUUAUGUCUCUGAUAUGCAGAAAGAAGAUCUAUGGACCUCGCUUAAGGCAAAUUUCACCCUACCGCCAGAGGAGGAUCCGGAGAAGCCAGUUAAAGAGCAAUUGAUCAAGUCUCAUGCUCUUAAGAAGAUGGCAGAACUAUUCAGGAGGUGGAAGAAUGAGCUGAAAACAGAGUUUGUCGACGAAGAUUUGACACCAGAAUUCACCAGAAAGUAUGAGAAGAUCAGAGAUCACUGGCCUGCAUUUGUGGCCCACAAGACAUCGAAAAAGAGUAAGAAGAUGUCAGCGAUAAACAAGAUAAAUGCUGCGAAGAAGAAGCAUCACCAUCACGCGGGGUCAGGUGGCUACGUCAAAGCCCGACCUUUGUGGGACAAGGCUAAGAAUGACCUGAUUGCUAAAGGGAUCGAACAAGAGACAUUGAACUGGCCAGACCAUUGCCGGACUUGGUUCUUCGGGGUUGGCGGAACCUUGGACUCUGUAACAGGGAAGUGCGUUUGGACGGAUGAGCAACUGCCAAUACCCGUCAAAAAGCUUCAGGAGUAUAUCGAGAAAGCGCAGCAAGGGACGUUCGUCUCAGACAGAGAGAAGGACAAGCUCACAAUGGCCCUCGGGAAUCCUGAGCACCCUGGACGGACACGAGGCACGCCAGGCUCUGUUCCGUGGAAGGCAGGCUUUCUGGACGCAGGGGGUUACAAAACCCAGGAGGAAGAAAGUGGAGCAUAGCCAACUGCAGGCGCUGCAUGAAAGGGCACAAGGGCUAGAGGAACGAGAAGCAGAUCGCAGCAAACGACCUGCCGAAUCUUCCCCUGAAGCGACCCCGCCAUCUCAGCGGAGAAGCAGCGUGGCUUCCAUCGAGCAGACUCAGCAGCUGGAGCAUGUCUUCACGGCUCCUGCUAGCUACCCCAUGGAUGCUAUCACGGAGUCUCAACAUUGCCACCUUAUGACGCGAUGGAUGACAUUGAAAGUCAAGGCGGCUGUUGGCUCUGUUAUACCUAAUGAACCUGGCUCAACCUACCACGGCUAGCCGAUUCCAGAAGGAUAUGCUAGGGUGAUGGUGGAUCAAAUAACGGACGGAUUUGAGGACCUUCAGCUUGACCACCCUACGGGUGAAGGGGAGAUUCGGUUGGGUUCUUCUCUAACGACUCCAUGCCUAUGGCGGAAGGAGCUCAUCAACCUUCCGAACUGGAUGCCUCCGCCUCCUCCUCCUCCUUCGGCGAGUCAGGGCAAUCCGCCUCCUCCUCCGCCUCCUCCUCCGGCGAGUGAUCAGGGCACUCAGCCUCCUUCUCCGACGUGUGGUGGCACUCCACCUCCUUCUUCGCCUGAGCCAGCGCACCUGAGCAGCCAGCCUCCUCCUUCUCCGCCUCAUCAACAAGGGAGGAUCAAGAGACAUGCCGCCGCUCCGGCUGCUCCGGCACGUCGUAGUCCUUCGCCUCCGCCUCGUAAGAAAGGAAAGACAGCCACAACCUCUCCGUCCGCUCCGGGGUCUAGCAGCACAGCCAGAGGCGGGAGGCAAUACAAAUACGGUCCUUCUCUCAAGACUCCAGAGAAGUUACCAUAUGAGAGGAACGUGGAGGAAAACACGCGUAUCAUGCAAGCCGAAGUGGAUAACUUCUUUGAAGGGGCGAAAGCAAAGAUACAUCCACCACUGGAGGAGAAGAUAGAUCCGGUAAAAGUGAAGCGUACUAUGGCUGCCCUGCAGAAACCACCAAAGUCUCCGGCGAAAGGCAACUAUGACUGCAUUCUUACAAAGUCAUUUAUGGAAGCGUCGCGGUCGGGAAGUACUAUCAGUGGUCAAUGAUGGGCUGGUAAAAAAGUUGCCCAGCUCGGCGAACAAGCGAACCAAUCGUCCCCCCCACUCCAGGUGUCUAGCGAUAUCGUUGCUAAUGUUCUGGGCGGGAUGGUGUCCGGUUAUAACAAUCUUGAAGAUUACCUGCCCAACGAUGUACAUUAUGAUUUCUUGGAGGUGGACGAACACAAAUACGUGUACGGGAAGCCUCUCGUCAAAGAUGAAAGAUCUCUACCAACGAUGAUGUUCAUAUUCCAUGAGUGGUACAUGGAAACCCACAGAGAAUCUGAUGGGAUGAAUAUUUUGACGCUGAGAGUCAGAGAGGAGCAUGACCUCGUUGGACUUGAACUGUUGAAUGUUCCAUUUGAGGAGUUCUUCGCGUUUUCAAUCUAAAGGCCCUCGAUAAAUUAAUGAUCACUUGCUAGUGCCUGUAAGUACAAUACUACUUCUGUCAUUAAGUCUCUCUAUAUAGGUCAGCUCUUUCAUUGCAUGUAUUUUCAGUUAUCCUCACUAUAUUAUGCAGAUUGAAGAUCGCCGAAUUGAAGAAACGACAAAUCGGUGAUAUUGGGUUCAUUAACACAAAUCUCAUAGAUGCAUAUAUGGUUAAAUCUCAGGCCAAAGAAACCGAGGCCAAGCUGCUAAAAUCGUUUGUAUUAAAUCAAAACAAAGCUAUAAUACUCUUACCUUACGAAUUCAAGUGAGUGUUACUGUCUUGUGCAUAUUCGGUUUCCCUUAUUAGUCGAGGUUAUAGUAAUGUAAUUGAUGAGUUAUGCAUGCGUGCGCAUGUUCCACUAUAUUCUCCUAGAGAUUAAGCUUGAGCAGGGACUAGUAACCGUCUUAGACUCGAGACGAAAAGAUCCCAACGAGUAUGCGGACAUGACUGAAAUUCUAGAGAAGUAAGUUAAAUCGAUCAUUAUCGCACCAUAUCGGCAACUUUGUUCAUUUCCUGAUAUCAAGUAAUUGUUUUCUUUGUCUGCUGGCAGGGUUUGGAAAACAUUCAUCUCAAAAACUCUGGGACUGCCGAAGAAGCUGCAAUUUAGACACCCGAAAGUAAGUACUAUAGUAGCAUGUUCCACGCAUUUUCUAGUGAUUCAAGCGCUAGUUUUAUCAAUACCAUUUAGCAUGCUUGCUAAUUAUCAGUUUGAUUGACCUCUUUUUCUUGU